CAAGGAUUCCCCUAGUAACUGCGAGUGAAGCGGGAAAAGCUCAAAUUUAAAAUCUGGCGGCCUUUGGCUGUCCGAGUUGUAGUCUGGAGAAGUGCUUUCCGCGCUGGACCGUGUAUAAGUCUCUUGGAACAGAGCGUCAUAGAGGGUGAGAAUCCCGUCUUUGACACGGACUACCAGUGCUUUGUGAUGCGCUCUCAAAGAGUCGAGUUGUUUGGGAAUGCAGCUCAAAAUGGGUGGUGAAUUCCAUCUAAAGCUAAAUAUUGGCGAGAGACCGAUAGCGAACAAGUACCGUGAGGGAAAGAUGAAAAGCACUUUGGAAAGAGAGUUAAACAGUACGUGAAAUUGCUGAAAGGGAAACGCUUGAAGUCAGUCGCGUCGUCCGGAACUCAGCCUUGCUUUUGCUUGGUGCACUUUCCGGAUGACGGGUCAGCAUCGAUUUCGACCGUCGGAAAAGGGCUGGAGUAAUGUGGCACCUCCGGGUGUGUUAUAGACUCUGGUCGCAUACGGCGGUUGGGAUCGAGGAACGCAGCGCGCCGCAAGGCAGGGGUUCGCCCACUUUCGCGCUUAGGAUGCUGGCAUAAUGGCUUUAAACGACCCGUCUUGAAACACGGACCAAGGAGUCUAACAUACCUGCAAGUGUUUGGGUGGAAAACCCGAGCGCGUAAUGAAAGUGAAAGUUGAGAUCCCUGUCGUGGGGAGCAUCGACGCCCGGACCAGACGUUCUCUGACGGAUCCGCGGUAGAGCAUGUAUGUUGGGACCCGAAAGAUGGUGAACUAUGCCUGAAUAGGGUGAAGCCAGAGGAAACUCUGGUGGAGGCUCGUAGCGAUUCUGACGUGCAAAUCGAUCGUCAAAUUUGGGUAUAGGGGCGAAAGACUAAUCGAACCAUCUAGUAGCUGGUUCCUGCCGAAUU
Molecule: ribosomal RNA, 911 nt
Filed under: Ganoderma australe
Lineage: Eukaryota; Fungi; Basidiomycota; Agaricomycetes; Polyporales; Polyporaceae
Description: eukaryotic LSU rRNA
Rfam family: Eukaryotic large subunit ribosomal RNA
Source: RNAcentral